RNAcentral lists this unclassified non-coding RNA (293 nucleotides) under uncultured fungus. RNAcentral's name for it is "partial contains 5.8S ribosomal RNA, internal transcribed spacer 2, and large subunit ribosomal RNA". The stretch from base 1 to 52 matches the Rfam family "5.8S ribosomal RNA", at positions 103 to 154 of the family's 154-position model. Lineage: Eukaryota; Fungi. The record is from RNAcentral.
AACGCACCUUGCGCUCCUCGGUAUUCCGAGGAGCAUGCCUGUUUGAGUGUCGUGAAGUCUUAUCGAAAACGGGGGUUUCGCUCCCUUUUCGGACUUGGACGGUCUUGCCCUCUCGACCCUCUGGUGUCGAAAGGGGCUCGUCUUCAAAUUCAUCGGCGAGGUUCGCCCGUCCCCCCCUUUCCAGACGUGAUCAAGUCUUGCGUCGUCCGGGGGGUGGACGCGCGCCUCCCCUUACCCUUAAUUUCUUCAAACGCCUUGACCUCAAAUCAGGCAGGACUACCCGCCGAACUUAA